CUGCGCGUAGUUUAAAUUCAAGUGUCAUAAGUGCAUCUCGUGGAUGCCUUGGCGAUCAGAGGCGAUGAAGGACGUGGUACGCUGCGAUAAGCUACGGCGAGGUGCGAACAACCUUUGACCCGUAGAUCUCCGAAUGGGGAAACCCACUCUUUUAGAGUAUCUUGUACUGAAUACAUAGGUGCAAGAGGCAAACCUGGGGAAUUGAAACAUCUUAGUACCCAGAGGAAAGGAAAUCAACCGAGACUCCGUUAGUAGUGGCGAGCGAACGCGGACCANCCCAGUGGCUGUGUUGUAACAAUUAGAAGUGGAUGGAAAGCCACGCCAUAGAAGGUGAUAGCCCUGUAUAAGUAAAAAGCGACAUAGUCCUUGAGUAAGGCGGAACACGUGAAAUUCUGUCUGAACAUGGGGGGCCNAUCCUCCAAGGCUAAGUACUCCUGAUCGACCGAUAGCGAACAAGUACCGUGAGGGAAAGGUGAAAAGAACCCCGAUGAGGGGAGUGAAACAGACCUGAAACGGGAUGCAUACAAGCAGUCGGAGCACCUAUACGGUGUGACGGCGUACCUUUUGUAUAAUGGGUCAGCGAGUUACUCUUACAUGCAAGCUUAAGCCGAUAGGUGUAGGCGCAGCGAAAGCGAGUCUGAAUAGGGCGCCNNAGUANGUNGGANUAGACCCGAAACCCGGUGAUCUAGNCAUGGCCAGGUUGAAGGUUNGGUAACACNAACUGGAGGACCGAACCCACNUNNGUUGAAAAANGAUNGGGAUGAGCUGUGNCUAGGGGUGAAAGGCCAAUCAAACCGGGNNAUAGCUGGUUCUCCGCGAAANCUAUUNAGGUAGNGCNUCNNGUNAUUACNCUCGGGGGUAGAGCACUGGAUGGNCUAGGGGGGCGCGAGCCUUACCAAANCUAACCAAACUCCGAAUACCGAGNAGUACANNCAUGGNAGACANACUGCGGGUGNUAAGGUCCGUAGUNGAAAGGGAAACAGCCCNGACCNCCAGCUAAGGUCCCCAAAUGAUAACUAAGUGGAAAAGCAAGUUGGAUUUCCAUGACAACCAGGAGGUUGGCUUAGAAGCAGCCAUCCUUUAAAGAAAGCGUAAUAGCUCACUGGUCUAAAUAAGAAAUCCGGCGGCGAAGAUGUAUCGGGUCUUAAGUUAUCUACCGAAGCUGAGGAUGCACACUUUUGUGUGCGUGGUAGCGGAGCGUUGUGUAAGUCUGUGAAGGGUAACCGCGAGGUUGCCUGGAGAUAUCACAAGUGAGAAUGCUGACAUGAGUAGCGACAAAGAGUGUGAGAAACACUCUCGCCGAAAUCCCAAGGGUUCCUGUCCAAGGCUAAUCCGGGCAGGGUAAGUCGGCCCCUAAGGCGAGGCAGAAAUGCGUAGUCGAUGGGAAUCAGGUUAAUAUUCCUGAACCUGUUGGUGGUGACGGUGGCCGUAAGUUGUACUUCCUUAUUGGAUUGGAAGUGCCGCGAAGGACAUCCAGGAAAUAGCCCCAACAUUAAGACCGUACCCGAAACCGACACAGGUGGGAUGGUAGAGAAUACCAAGGCGCUUGAGAGAACUAUCUUGAAGGAACUCGGCAAAUUGCAUCCGUAACUUCGGGAGAAGGAUGCCCACCAUGAAGGCAACUUUAUGGUGGGGGCACAGACCAGGGGGUGGCGACUGUUUAUCAAAAACACAGGGCUCUGCGAAGUCGCAAGACGACGUAUAGGGUCUGACGCCUGCCCGGUGCCGGAAGGUUAAGAGGAGGUGUGCAAGCACUGAAUUGAAGCCCCGGUAAACGGCGGCCGUAACUAUAACGGUCCUAAGGUAGCGAAAUUCCUUGUCGGGUAAGUUCCGACCUGCACGAAUGGCGUAACGACUUCCCCACUGUCUCCAA
This 1873-nucleotide ribosomal RNA is filed under the name Alphaproteobacteria bacterium. Its description in RNAcentral is "bacterial LSU rRNA". It matches the Rfam family "Bacterial large subunit ribosomal RNA", at positions 1 to 2025 of the family's 2925-position model. Lineage: Bacteria; Pseudomonadati; Pseudomonadota; Alphaproteobacteria. The record is from RNAcentral.